CAGCCGCCGCGGUAAUACGUAGGUGGCAAGCGUUGUCCGGAAUUAUUGGGCGUAAAGGGCUCGCAGGCGGUUUCUUAAGUCUGAUGUGAAAGCCCCCGGCUCAACCGGGGAGGGUCAUUGGAAACUGGGAAACUUGAGUGCAGAAGAGGAAAGUGGAAUUCCACGUGUAGCGGUGAAAUGCGUAGAGAUGUGGAGGAACACCAGUGGCGAAGGCGACUCUCUGGUCUGUAACUGACGCUGGGGAGCGAAAGCGUGGGGAGCGAACAGGAUUAGAUACCCCGGUAGUCCCUGUCUCUUAUAA
Molecule: ribosomal RNA, 301 nt
Filed under: uncultured bacterium
Lineage: Bacteria
Description: partial 16S ribosomal RNA
Rfam family: Bacterial small subunit ribosomal RNA
Source: RNAcentral